Molecule: ribosomal RNA, 467 nt
Filed under: uncultured bacterium
Lineage: Bacteria
Description: partial 16S ribosomal RNA
Rfam family: Bacterial small subunit ribosomal RNA
Source: RNAcentral
GAUGAACGCUGACAGAAUGCUUAACACAUGCAAGUCAACUUGAAUUUGGGUUUUUAACUUAGGUUUGGGUGGCGGACGGGUGAGUAACGCGUAAAGAACUUGCCUCACAGCUAGGGACAACAUUUGGAAACGAAUGCUAAUACCUAAUAUUAUGAUAAUAGGGCAUCCUAUAAUUAUGAAAGCUAUAAGCGCUGUGAGAGAGCUUUGCGUCCCAUUAGCUAGUUGGAGAGGUAACGGCUCACCAAGGCGAUGAUGGGUAGCCGGUCUGAGAGGGUGAUCGGCCACAAGGGGACUGAGACACGGCCCUUACUCCUACGGGAGGCAGCAGUGGGGAAUAUUGGACAAUGGACCGAGAGUCUGAUCCAGCAAUUCUGUGUGCACGAUGAAGUUUUUCGGAAUGUAAAGUGCUUUCAGUUGGGAAGAAACAAAUGACGGUACCAACAGAAGAAGUGACGGCUAAAUACGUG